Molecule: ribosomal RNA, 492 nt
Filed under: uncultured bacterium
Lineage: Bacteria
Description: partial 16S ribosomal RNA
Rfam family: Bacterial small subunit ribosomal RNA
Source: RNAcentral
AGUGAACGCUGGCGGUAGGCCUAACACAUGCAAGUCGAACGGCAGCACAGUAAGAGCUUGCUCUUACGGGUGGCGAGUGGCGGACGGGUGAGGAAUACAUCGGAAUCUACUUUUUCGUGGGGGAUAACGUAGGGAAACUUACGCUAAUACCGCAUACGACCUACGGGUGAAAGCAGGGGAUCUUCGGACCUUGCGCGAUUGAAUGAGCCGAUGUCGGAUUAGCUAGUUGGCGGGGUAAAGGCCCACCAAGGCGACGAUCCGUAGCUGGUCUGAGAGGAUGAUCAGCCACACUGGACCUGAGCCACGGUCCAGACUCCUACGGGAGGCAGCAGUGGGGAAUAUUGGACAAUGGGCGCAAUCCUGAUCCAGCCAUACCGCGUGGGUGAAGAAGGCCUUCGGGUUGUAAAGCCCUUUUGUUGGGAAAGAAAAGCAGCAGGUUAAUACCCCGCUGUUCUGACGGUACCCAAAGAAUAAGCACCGGCUAACUUCGUG